UUCAAUCCCAGGCCCGUCCCUUUCCUCGUACUUUGUAGUUGUAUAUCUCUCACUUGGUUCACGGAGAAAAAUGAUCUUAGUUUGAAACAACCAUUUUGUUGGUUGAAAUUCAAUGUAGAGUUUUGGUUGUUUUCAACUGUAGUUUUGUUGAUGCAAACCCCUGAUUUUUAUUGAAACAAAAUAGAUUCAUGGUUGGUGUCAACCUAAGAAAUUAGGUUGUUCUCAAUAAAAUUUUGUUUGUUUCAAACUGAUAAUUUAUAUGUUUUUAACAAAAGUUCAUUUUAUUUUUAACAAAAUGUGGGUUGUUAUAUAUCACUGCCACCAACGAUCUGUAUUAGUUUGUUUGCUUCAUAUCCACGGAGUUUGAUUCAUUAUGUAGUUGAUGAUUGAGCAAAUUUUAUCAACUAUUUUCAGUUAAGAGGUGAAACCAGAAUCAACAAUCAACAUGAGUUCAGAUCCAUUGAAAAGAUUCCUAAGCUUCACCCUUGAUAGAGAAAGAAAUACAUCGACAUUGCCUCACCAUCGUUAAAAAGCAAGAUCUUUGCGAGCAAAUCAAGAAAUUUGGCCAUAUUGAAUAAAAGAAAAUUCAACGCAGAAUGCAGAUGCAAAAUGUGGAUCAACUUCAUUAGAUAUAUGUAAAAAUCAGUAAUCUUAAGAAGAAAUACAUGCUUUGUUCAAAUGCAGUAUUAAUUAAUUUAGUUAUCUUCAAAAAUGAUAAGUCAAUAUGAAUCGAAAAACAGUAAACCUACAAGCAACCAACGAUAUGUUUAUUUCAAACAAGAAAUUUGUUUGCAACAAACUCAAGAUUGGUAACUUCAAACUUAUUUUCUUUGUUUAAAAUAACCUAAAGCGUUGGUUGUUUCAACAAAUGUCAAACUGAAUAACCAAUAUUUUGUUUGUUUUGAACAAACUUUGGUUGAAUUUGAG
This 927-nucleotide long non-coding RNA is filed under the name Aedes aegypti (yellow fever mosquito). RNAcentral describes it as "lncRNA AAEL021852". The record is from RNAcentral. Lineage: Eukaryota; Metazoa; Arthropoda; Insecta; Diptera; Culicidae.